GCCGGGUGCGGUGGCAUGUACCUGUAAUCCAAGUCACUGGGAGGCUGAGGUUGGUGGAUCAAGUGCGCUGAGGAGCUCUGGGCUGCAGCACGCUAUGUCGAACGGGUGUCCACGCUAAGUUCGUUAUCGAUAUGGUGUUCCUGGGGGAGCCCGGGACCACCAGGUUGUCUAAGGAGGGGUGAACCGGCCCAGGUCGGAAACGAAGCAGGUCAAAUCCCCUGUGCUGUCCAGUAGUGGGAUAAUACCUGUGAGUAGAUGCUGCAGUGCAGCCUUGGCAAAACAUCGAGACCUAAUCUUUU
Molecule: signal recognition particle RNA, 299 nt
Filed under: Oncorhynchus mykiss (rainbow trout)
Lineage: Eukaryota; Metazoa; Chordata; Actinopteri; Salmoniformes; Salmonidae
Description: Metazoan signal recognition particle RNA
Rfam family: Metazoan signal recognition particle RNA
About the family: The signal recognition particle (SRP) is a universally conserved ribonucleoprotein. It is involved in the co-translational targeting of proteins to membranes.
Source: Rfam by way of RNAcentral